This 460-nucleotide ribosomal RNA is filed under the name uncultured bacterium. RNAcentral describes it as "partial 16S ribosomal RNA". It matches the Rfam family "Bacterial small subunit ribosomal RNA", at positions 338 to 795 of the family's 1533-position model. The record is from RNAcentral.
CCUACGGGGUGCAGCAGUGAGGAAUAUUGGUCAAUGGACGGAAGUCUGAACCAGCCAUGCCGCGUGCAGGAAGACGGCUCUAUGAGUUGUAAACUGCUUUUAUACAAGGGUAAACCUGAAUACGUGUAUUCAGCUGAAAGUACUUUAUGAAUAAGGAUCGGCUAACUCCGUGCCAGCAGCCGCGGUAAUACGGAGGAUCCAAGCGUUAUCCGGAUUUAUUGGGUUUAAAGGGUUCGUAGGCGGAUUGAUAAGUUAGUUGUGAAAUGUCGGAGCUUAACCCGGGAAUUGCCUCUAAUACUGGUGGUCUAGAGAGUAGAUGAGGUAGGCGGAAUGUGUGGUGUAGCGGUGAAAUGCUUAGAGAUCAUACAGAACACCGAUUGCGAAGGCAGCUUACCAAUCUAUAUCUGACGUUGAGGCACGAAAGCGUGGGGAGCAAACAGGAUUAGAUACCCGGGUAGUC